GUGCGCGGCGAGCGGACUGCUCUCCCCACGCAAGCCGCCCCCUCGCGGCACCCACUCCCCGCCGGCGCUCGAGUCGGUGCGAACCCGCAGACUCACUGGCGACUCGACUGCUGUUCUUCAUGAUAUAUGGUACAUAUACCUGGUCUGGAUUCAGGAGAAAUGGAAGCAAUUGGAGCCAUGCUGUUCUAUUUUCUCAACAUCCAACAACUCAGCGAUAACAGUACCAAUGAUAUGCAUUUGAGAAAGUGAAGCUUGAAAGAUAAAUUAUCCAGAGUUACACAGAGUUAUAGGUCCACAGGUUGACAUUAUCCUCUUGAAGAAAUGGAACAAUACUCCCCAGGUGGUUACUUGACGACAACAGAAGCAUUAGAAGACUCUCCAAAGCAAUUUAAAAGUUAUCCUUUUCCGGGGAUUCACUCAAAUGGUCUGCAAAAUAGAAAUUCCUGACUGCAAAGGAAAGACAGUAAACAUUUCAAGAGAAAUUAUUUGCCUACACAGUACCAGAACUAGCCUGAUUUAAAAGGUCAUCAAGAGAGUGUGACUGCUGGUUCAUCGCUGAGCUCAAACCAGACAACACAUCCAGAAGCUUCUCCUCAUCCAUCCCCCACCCUGGGAAUAUAUGUUCUGUCCACCAUUCCCACAGCAGGAGCUAUUUUCAAGGAUGCAACUUUGAGAGAAAAAAAGAAGAGGCCAGAGGGCCAGUUUGCUCUCUUUCUACCAUGUGAGGAUACAACAGGAAGUCAGCAGUCUGCAAUCCAGAAGAAGGCCUUCACCAGAACCUGAUCAUACUAAAACACUGAUCUCUACUUCCAGCCUCUAGAACUGUGAGAAACAAUUUUUUCAUAUUUCUAAGUGUAAGUCUUUAUACUUUGUUAUAUCACUUCAGUUGACACACUUUGCCAAGGUCAGCCAUUAAACAGCAAAAGCAGAAUUCACACACAGAAAAGAUUCCAGAGACUAAGAUUUAUAUGUUAUGCUGAGUUUCUAAAAAUGAGUACAAAAACCUUACUUAUUUAAUAAAUAAAU
This is a long non-coding RNA of Herpailurus yagouaroundi (jaguarundi), 1026 nucleotides long. RefSeq lists it as uncharacterized. The record is from RefSeq and is a predicted model, not a curated record. The transcript has 7 exons. Lineage: Eukaryota; Metazoa; Chordata; Mammalia; Carnivora; Felidae.